GUUAAACAAGUGCUUGAAGGCAGUAUGCUUGGUAAAAGUCAUCGCCAUUCUCUAAUCUUGAGUACCCAGGGACACGAUACACUGCGGAAGGCUGCAGGGACCUCUGCCCAGGAAAGCCAGGCUUGCAUGAAGGAAAUGAUUUCCUAUGAUUCUGCUUACUGCUUAAAAAAAUUAAUCAAGUUUUCUGCCUGACAAGAGCCAGAAAAACUUCAUCUCUUUUACAAGAAACAUUGAGAUUCCUGUAAAAUUAAGAAAUCACACAAUUUGAUGGUCUACAUUAUCUAAAGCAAAUGAGACUUCUAUUUGGAACAAAGACUACCUUGUUGGGAAAUGAGUCUGCAAGUUAAAGUGUUUUCUGAUGAUGCAUAUCAUAAAUUAUUACUCACCCCAUGUUCCCACCCUCGAGAGACCUCCAAACAAUCACCAUGCCACAGUGAACAUUCAGUAACAAAAAUUCAGCCAGGGUUUUCACCAGCAUGAAUGGCAGUGAUUCCAAUCAGGAAAACAGAAAGAGGAGAGUUCAGAGCCACCUAGAAUGGCUCUUGCAAGAUACGAAAUCAAGGCAGCAGCAACAGGGCUGAACAUUCCUCAUCCCUAACUCUCCCUUCACCAGUAGGAAACCCAGGAUAACUGCAAUCACCGCAGGCCCAUCUGGCCUGAAGUUCUACUACUAGUAGCCCUCCAUGGGACCUUCUUAAGGAAGCAUGUCAACUCAGGUAAGGGAUGUAAGGGGAUGGAUGACCCUUUGAGGCCAAAGUUGGAGCAAAAAACACCAGAUGUUCCUGUGCACUGCUCCUAAGAGAUGGUUCUGAAGACCAGUUCGGGGAGAGGUCAAAAUACUGGACAGAAUCUCAGCAACAUGGAACCUCAAACUAAGUGACAGUCACAGACAACUCUUCCCCAAAGAAAAUAAGCACAGACAUGGUUUGUGGUAAGCAGAAUUAUAAAGAUGAAUUCCCAUCUCCCUGUCAGAUUACCAGUAUGGUAAAUUACCAGAUUACCUGGUUAUUUAUUCAAACACUAAUACAGUUAUUGCCUUGAUGGAAACAUACAGAUACAAUUAAAAUCCCAAGUACCAAAUAAAUUGACCUUAAGACAAAGACUAAGUAAAUCACAUGAGCCCUCUACAAGCAGAGAGUUUUUCUCCAGCUGGUAGCAGAAGCCAGAGAUUUGAAGCAUAGGAAGUAUUCAACACAUUAUUGCUGGCCUGAAAAUGGAAGGGGCCACAUAACGAGGGAAACCGGUGGCCUCUAGAAGCAGGGAGCAGUCCCCUGCUGACAGACAGCAAGCCAAGACCUCAGUUCUACAAUUGCAAGACACUCAAUUCUGCUAAGGACAAAAAUGAGCUUGGAAGUGAACUCUGAGCUUCAGGUGAGAACACGGCCAAACAACACCUUGAUUUCAGCUUAAACAAAGAAUGCAGCCACUCCAUGCCAGAAUUCUGACCUGUAGAAAUUUGAGCUAAUAAAUAGAUGUUUUAAUAGCUUCAUC
RNAcentral lists this long non-coding RNA (1491 nucleotides) under Homo sapiens (human). RNAcentral's name for it is "HIF1A stabilizing long noncoding RNA". Lineage: Eukaryota; Metazoa; Chordata; Mammalia; Primates; Hominidae. The record is from RNAcentral.